Molecule: ribosomal RNA, 440 nt
Filed under: uncultured bacterium
Lineage: Bacteria
Description: partial 16S ribosomal RNA
Rfam family: Bacterial small subunit ribosomal RNA
Source: RNAcentral
CCUACGGGAGACAGCAGUGGGGAAUAUUGCACAAUGGGCGGAACCCUGAUGCAGCAACGCCGCGUGAACGAAGAAGUAUUUCGGUAUGUAAACUUCUGUCAGCAGGGAAGAAAAUGACGGUACCUGACUAAGAAGCCCCGGCUAACUACGUGCCAGCAGCCGCGGUAAUACGUAGGGGGCAAGCGUUAUCCGGAUUUACUGGGGGUAAAGGGAGCGUAGGGGGGAGUGCAAGUCAGAAGUGAAAGCGCAAGGCUUAACCAGUGGAAAGCUUUUGAAACUGUACAACUAGAUUGCAGGAGAGGUAAGUGGAAUUCCUAGUGUAGCGGUGAAAUGCGUAGAUAUUAGGAGGAACACCAGUGGCGAAGGCGGCUUACUGGACUGUAAAUGACGCUGAGGCUCGAAAGCGUGGGGAGCAAACAGGAUUAGAUACCCUUGUAGUC